CCUACGGGAGGCAGCAGUGAGGAAUAUUGGUCAAUGGGCGCGAGCCUGAACCAGCCAAGUAGCGUGAAGGAUGACUGCCCUACGGGUUUUAAACUUCUUUUAUAAAGGAAUAAAGUGAGGCACGUGUGCCUUUUUGUAUGUACUUUAUGAAUAAGGAUCGGCUAACUCCGUGUCAGCAGCCGCGGUAAUACGGAGGAUCCGAGCGUUAUCCGGAUUUCUUGGGUUUAAAGGGAGCGUAUAUGGGUUGUUAAGUCAGUUGUGAAAGUUUGCGGCUUAACCGUAAAAUUGCAAUUGAUACUGGCAGUCUUGAGUAAAGUUGAGGUAGGCGGAAUUCGUGGUGUAGCGGUGGAAUGCUUAGAUAUCACGAAGAACUCCGAUGGCGAAGGCAGCUUACUAAACUGACACUGACAUUGAUGCUCGAAAGUGUGGGUAUCAAACAGGAUUAGAUACCCCUGUAGUC
RNAcentral lists this ribosomal RNA (460 nucleotides) under uncultured bacterium. RNAcentral describes it as "partial 16S ribosomal RNA". It matches the Rfam family "Bacterial small subunit ribosomal RNA", at positions 338 to 795 of the family's 1533-position model. The record is from RNAcentral.